UCCUGAGCAGAGGGGCCUCUCCCACAGCCCAAAAUAGAAAACUAAAUGUACAAAUUAGAGCUGCUCUGUCCUUUUUCUAUCACGCCCUUGCUUUUCUUCGUGGGAGGAAAACGACAGACAGAACAGUCUUAAAUCUACAAAAUAGUGCCUGCAAAGCAAGGGUGAGCACAUCUCUGAUACGGAAAGGGAAAGACACAGCCACGUCCUAAAGCAUGACGUGGCCAGUGCUAAUGCAGAAGGAAAGCUGACAGCUCCCCUACCUGCCCUUCCUGGGCAGCAGAUCCAUGGAGCACAACAAUUUGCUGCUGCAUUUUGUGAACUGGACAGCGCUCUCUUACUCAUUUUGUUUUAAGCUGUAAAGAUGUUAGGCACCUGUGGAAGGAGCCAUUUAACUUAAUUUCCAAAGUGUUCCCACAUAAUUGUAUGCAUUAAUGUCUCACAGGCCAACAGUUUCAGCAGCAAACUGUUAACAUAUAGCUACAAGCAGCUGUGACCAUCUCAGCAAAACCAUCAGACUGACUUCUAUCUGGAGCUGUAAUUGUAACUCGAAUGCACAGUUUUUACUAUCAUUUCAGCAGACACAAAACCUGCAAGCCCAGCUGAAGACAGAUUUUCCUUCUUCUUAUACAAAUGAAAGGGAGUUCCUACAACAACGCUCACAAAGACCUCGUUUGGAUAAAACUGGAACAUUUCCCUGUGAUCCCCAGCGAGGGGUAUCUUUCCAUCUCUGCUUUGUCUUCGGAUAAGGCCAGAAGCUCUCAGCUCCCAGUGCAGAGAAGCUUGCUGAGCAAACACUGUCUGACACAGUCCCAUAGCUGCCAUGGAAAUGAGUACAAUAUAAAUUCCUAGACAGGUUUAUCACCCAGACUUUUUUCUGACAGCAGUAGAUGUUUGUGACAAAAUGUACAAAUACUUUUUUUAUCUGUAGCCUGCUACAUCCUAUCUCUCUCUGUCUACAAAUGCAGCCCCUGCAGGGUUGCACAGCUUCUAGAGGAACUUGACGCCAAAUCCCAGCCAAGAUUUUCCACGUGUUAGCUGGUAAGACCUCUUUGAGCUGAAACGGUCAGUUUGCCCCAGCAAAGUUAGGCUGAGAGCCUUAAAAAAGGCAAGCUAGGCUACCCUUAUGAAAGGCUCAUUGAUGAGACAGCAAGACAGAGUUUUGACAGCAGCAGCACUCUGCUACAUCACAGCACCAGGAACUUCAGUCCCGAUGGGAACACGGCUGAGAUUUACAAUUCCCUAUACUGUUCCAGAGGAUUGCUCCAGUGUAACCAGGCUCUCAGCCUGACCUCCUUUCCUGCUUCCACUAGCCCCUAGAGGAGGGGGGGAAGAGCGAGAACACAGAACUGGAAUUUGAGAGUCCUUCACAUUCUUGGGAUUCCUGGUGUCUGUGAUAGGCAGCACAAAGGCAGCACACGCUUGUCUGGUGAUCUGACAAAUUCCACGUUCUGGAGAAUUACUGGAACAGCUGAUGGGUCACAGGAGUAGCUACAUGCAGCUGGCCUAGCUCCACAUCCACAGGAUGGGAGGUUUUAGUGCCAAUCAUCCCACACACCAGGGCACAAAAGUCCCCCAGUAUGACUGCAGAACCUUCUAGCAAACUCAAACUUCUCUUCACUACCACUGACUUCAAGGAUCAAAAACCAGCAGCAUAAGAAGAGAACAGCUACACAAGCCAUCAUUCCCACAGCAUUACAUUACAGACACUUCUCCAAGGUAAAAAGAGCACAGAAAGUAUCCUCCGAAGUGCCAGUGUGCAGUCCCAGGCUGCUCUAAGUUGACCUAGACAGCUGACAUUACUGUCAUGCAGCCCAUCAUCUGUCCCCAGCUGUGCUUGUCCUGGCCCCCUCCCUCCUCUGUACCGGGACCAAGAUCUGUUCAGCUCUGUAAUGAGACAGUUCAGGGAAAUAAACAAACAGAAAACUUUUUUUUUUUUCUUCAUGAUUGUUCUCUAAACUUUGUUUCAACUGAUUCACCAAAGGGUCAAAUGGAUGCUAGUGCAGGUACAGGGAGUGGAGAACUACAGCAAAACCAAUUUAAAUAGAACUUCAUGUCAGCAUAAGCUGAUCUUAGUCCCUGGCAGAAUAUAUCCUCCUGGCAGACAAGGAAAGAAAAGGCACUUCAUUGAGAGUGACAUGGAUGAAGCUCUAAGACUCUCUGACUGCUUGCUUCAUCCCCUACCCUUUAUACAUAUAGAUGCCUCCAAACAUUUAAAACCUUGUGAAGUGAUGCACGUAUAUUAUCACCACCAGCAGCCUCCAGGACAAGCCCAGGAAUGACACUAGAGGCUACAGACUGUCAGCUGUAGUGUUUCAUGAUCAGGAAAUCAGCAAUAUAAAUUACCUAACCUGACACGUGUGGGUAUAUAUGUCACACCAGAUUUGCCAGCAGAAACAUGUCUAGCUAAUACACUGGUCUGCUAUUCAACAAGAUUGUGAACAACUGACACUUUUUGGCAGGUGCCUUAGAAAUGAGGGCUGAUGAUGGUGGACUCUGCAAGCACGCAGGAGGGGGGAAGCUCACUUCACACACUCAUCACUAUGCCAGUUACUGACCCAAAUGAACCUUCCCAUUCCCUAUCAAUCCACAAAUCUCAGUCCAGCCCACACUAAACACUGAUUGAUUUUUCUACUCUAAUGAGCACUGUGUCACAUUUGUGUUGACUAACCAUCAGUUCAGAUAAGUGGUUUGCAAUUAAGAUAAUUUGGUUUGGGGCCAAUGUGGCCUGAAAAGCACUUUUGAGAGUUCAGCACAGUGUUAGAGAGAUUAACUAGAGAAAUUUACUGCUCAAAACAGAAGGCCAGGUACCAAGCUAACAGCUACUUUUAGACCUUUAUACCAGAAUUUACCUUUCCAACCUAUUCAAAACAAAAAGCAAGAUUUGUCACAACAAAACUUUUCCUUGGAAAGCAAUAGCUUGCUUGUACAAUGCUCGGAAAAGAUUUCUUUCCGGACAUGUGCACUCAACCUGCAGCAACACUGAUUUUUCUUCCACUCCCCAUUUCCACUCAGGUGACAAUGUGAUCCUUUCACAGAUGCUACCUAUUUCUGAUGACAGACAAUUAGUAUUUCAACAAAAAUGCAUUCAAUGACAAACAGCCAACUUAAAUGAAGCCUCUAUAAAAAAGUAAACAGUUAAAUGAGCACAGCUUUUGAGUUCCAUGGACUUCAGCCUGGACAUAGUUCACAUUCUCAUCCUACACACAGCCACUUUGCAGAAUUUUCCUCCCAUUGCAAGCUGAACUAAGAAAGUGGUUUGGAUAGCAGCAGUUGCCAGGUAAAUAUAUUCAAGGCUUACAGCUGGAAGGAGCUCCCCUAUGUCCCCACCUAGACACAGAAUCAUCAGAGCAGAAACAGACACUUGGCAACUAGUCAGGUUUCAGUUUAAAGAGAGAGAUCAAACAUCCCUUUUCACUCUGCAAGUUUUUUUGCAUACAGAACUCCACAUCUCUUGCGACACUUCCUCUUCACAUGGCGCCCUCAUGACCAAGCUGCCAGAGCAGCACAGAAACCCUUACUCCCAACACUUGCUACCUGCCAGGCUCUCAGCACCAGACAUCCCCUGCUCUGGUAGCUCUCACCAGCGCAGCAGACAAAGGUUUCAAGGUGGUCACCAUCUACAGCAAUCUCUGGGAAGAGCAGCUUAUGUUUGACUCUUUUUUUUCUUUUUUGUUUUGCUCUCCUUUCCUUUAUACUUCUUCCUUGUAUCAGGACACAAUUAUCUCAGAUUAGUUUAUACUUGAGACAAAUAAUGUCUGAAAGCUUACCCAAAUAUAUAAAUGGCCCAUAACCAUCAACCCAUGUAUUCUUCAAUAAUAUCAGGCAAAAAGACAAGACACUGUGCUCAUAUCGCUUUGUUGUCACAUGUUUUUCUUAAAUGGUCUAGGGACUCUAACACACUUGUUUUAGAAAUACCUCAUAAAAGUGCAUAAAUUAUCCCUUCUAUUAUCCCAAAUUGCUCCUAGCUUUCUCCAAUCCCUGCAUAAGCAGUCAUGAGAGCACCGUUUCUUCUGUGAAUUGAGGAAACAUCUUUUUGGUGAUUUUAGAGGAUAGCAUUUUAAGGUAGCCAACAUCUAACUGACAGGCAGCGCUACUGCUCAUCUGUACUUCCGUAACAACCAAGAUUUCAAACAAUUUAAAGAAAUGCUUUCUGCUGAAAACCAAAAUUGUAAGUGCUGAAACUAAGCACCAACUGAAAUAAUAAGAGAGCUAAGAUAAUAGGCCUUUGUCCCUAAGCUAUUUCACAAGGCUGAGCUUUAAUUUUCUUCAGCUAAAUAGUCUGUGGACCCACUACUUCAGGAGGACGCAGAGACGAAAAGGAGAGCAAAAUAAGAUUGGUCGGAUCUACGAUACAGGCUUAUUUUGGCCUCCCAACCUCUUCUGCCUCCCACACCUUUUUAUCCCCCUCAAACUUUUCCAGCAUCCCCUUCUUCUUGGCCUCUACUUUUCUUGCUGACCUCCCACACCAUUUUGGUCUCCCACCACUUUUCAGCCUCCACUUUUCUUUCUGGCCUCCCACAUGUUUUCAGCCUCUAGUUUUCUUUCAGACUCCCACCCCUUCAGCCAGCACAUAAUAUUAAAAUCCCCUUAAGGUUAUGAAUAUGUAAAUUCUCUAUCCAAUCAACAGUGUCUCACCUUGAUAUGUGCAUUCAUAUUUUGACUUCUCCUUCUACACCCUAGCUGACCAGAAACAACCUAGCUUCCAUCCAGACAUCCUGCAGUCAUAACAGCACAAUUUUAAGCCCAAGGAAAAAUGGUGGCUCUCUCAGCAAUUCCAAAUCCUACUAGGACUCUCAUAGCCCUGUACAGUUAAUUAUGUUAAUGGCAGUACGAAAGUAAAACAUGAGAAAUUCUGAGAUGGUAAAAAUCAUUUAUCGUGAGUUUCAGAGCAACGCUUUCAUAAGGUUUAGGGGCGAUGCAAACCCCCACCAAGCUUAUUUAAACAAGUAAUACAUGCUCUAGCUUUGCUAACAGCUCCAUAAGGUGCUGUUCCCAAUUCCUAUUCACCAGCUUUCCAGACAGAAGAUCAGCAACAUUAAAGUCAGAAAUCAUCUGCAUUCCUACAGAGUGCUACGAUCAGGCACACAAAAACACACUCUGUACUUCUCUGCAGAACUUGUUUUGAUCCCCUCCCUCAACUUUAAGAGCAACAAAUCCAUGCACAAAUAAAAUGGGGAUUUUGGAAGUCACAUAUUUUGUAUUUUCCCUCACUUUCACGCAAGACCUUAAGUUUUCCUUUCUCUUUUCAAACAAUUGUAGCCAAAAAAGCUUGUGACUUUAGGAGAAAUCAAAAAUACACAUUUUGAAAACGCUAUUCAAAAUGCACUGUUUGGUUUACUUGAGAAAUAUGAUAGGUACUUUUUUUUUGUUUUCAGAAAGGUGCAACAGAUGUAAAAGCAGUUCUUCAUUAUACAUUACUAUGAUUUUCCAGUAAUCAUACUGCUCUGAAUCUUCUCUUCCAAGUUGCAAUAUCUUUUUAAUUAUGUGGUACUUAGUAGGUCUGAAGGAAAACGAAAGAGAACUGACCACAAAAUUCAGAAAUGCAUAAAUACAAAAGGAAGAUGUGAAAUAUCUUCAAAAGUUAUAUUUUAACAGCCCAAACACUCUUCCCACACUGUCCCUUCACACGCAAGUCAGGCACGCUUAGCUGCCCCCACUUCAUUCCCGCAUGAACAAACCAAUGGAGAAACCCUAUUAUAUUGCAUUGUGUGCAAUUGGCACUGUUUGUUCGGCACACCAAAAAACAAUCAGGUAUACAAACCCUGGUUGUUAUUAUAAUCUUAAUAGAUGUAAUGGGUGGGUAGGAAAGCUACCUGUAACAUCCAUGAGAAAAUAAUGUACUAACACAAACCAGCAGAUAAACAGUCAAGAAAAGGCAGAAAACUGCUCCCAACUAAACUUCAGUGCUCAGGUAAAAUAAGGCAAAAGAAACAUCUGUUUUGCUGUCUAAGUUCCAAUUCUGUCAGAGAGAGAAUUCCUGGCUUCCUGAUGCAAAGGUGUGGCUUUCCCUCCCAAGAUGAAGAAGAGGCAAUUCUGAACGGACUCCAAAAAUCCUAAGAGUAUAAGACAACCUGUUAUUUAAAACAACAAGAUGUGUGGACAGAGAACAAGGCUUUCUGGUCUCUAAUUUGGAAGGUUCAAUCAAACUCUAGAAAAAAACAACAAUAAUUUUGUGCAAUAAUCUUCCCUCUUCUCAAAACUGUACCAUUGGACAAAUCAGCCUUUGCUGCACAUCAAAACCUGAACUGCAGAAAUACUACUUAUAAUGCAGCAUUGUGUAGUGUUGCAAAUAUGUAUCAGUUUUGGGGUUUUAAAAAUGUUGAUUAUAGUGUGCUGCCUUGUAAUGCAUGGAACUGCAUAUUUCAGUUAUUAAAGUUAGCAAACAAGUCUGGCUGUUCAAAGUCAUUUCCCUGAGUAAACAAUGACUCAGUGUGGACUGUAUAAUGUAGAA
Harpia harpyja (harpy eagle) is the source of this 6451-nucleotide long non-coding RNA. RefSeq lists it as uncharacterized. The record is from RefSeq and is a predicted model, not a curated record. NCBI's taxonomy places the organism in Eukaryota, Metazoa, Chordata, Aves, Accipitriformes, Accipitridae. The transcript has 3 exons.